Molecule: ribosomal RNA, 597 nt
Filed under: uncultured bacterium
Lineage: Bacteria
Description: bacterial SSU rRNA
Rfam family: Bacterial small subunit ribosomal RNA
Source: RNAcentral
AGUAACACGUGGGUAACCUGCCCAUCAGAGGGGGAUAACACUUGGAAACAGGUGCUAAUACCGCAUAAUAGUCGACACCGCAUGGUGUUGAUUUGAAAGGCGCUUUCGGGUGUCACUGAUGGAUGGACCCGCGGUGCAUUGGCUAGUUGGUGAGGUAACGGCUCACCAAGGCGAUGAUGCAUAGCCGACCUGAGAGGGUGAUCGGCCACACUGGGACUGAGACACGGCCCANACUCCUACGGGAGGCAGCAGUAGGGAAUCUUCGGCAAUGGACGAAAGUCUGACCGAGCAACGCCGCGUGAGUGAAGAAGGUUUUCGGAUCGUAAAACUCUGUUGUUAGAGAAGAACAAGUAGGAGAGUAACUGCUCUUACCUUGACGGUAUCUAACCAGAAAGCCACGGCUAACUACGUGCCAGCAGCCGCGGUAAUACGUANGUGGCAAGCGUUGUCCGGAUUUAUUGNGCGUAAAGCGAGCGCANGCGGUUUCUUAAGUCUGAUGUGAAAGCCCCCGGCUCANCCGGGGANGGUCAUUGNAAACUGGGANACUUGAGUGCANAAGAGGAGAGUGGAAUUCCNUGUGUAGCGGUGAAAUGCGUA